This is an RNA transcript of Cornus florida, 1813 nucleotides long. It is a transcript of the gene named protein NUCLEAR FUSION DEFECTIVE 6, mitochondrial, with no coding region annotated. The transcript has 5 exons. Lineage: Eukaryota; Viridiplantae; Streptophyta; Magnoliopsida; Cornales; Cornaceae. The record is from RefSeq and is a predicted model, not a curated record.
ACCCCCAAAAUAAACCCUGACUUCUUCGCCCGCCCCCAAACCAAACCAAAGCUGCUCUCUCUCUCUCUCUCUACGAUUUGUGCAACCAUGUCAGCCGCCCUCGCCGCCGCCGCCAGGUCCGUCGUCCGGUCCAACUCCGCCCGAUGCGCAGCGACGAGACUCACCGCCGGAGCUAAACCUAAACCCGCACGAUCUCCCUUUCGCAUCCCCACGCAGAAACCACUCCCUUCUCGCAUUUUCAGGUCUCCAGUUGAGAUGAGCUGCGCCGUUGAAUCGUUGCUUCCAUUUCACACCGCCACUGCCUCUGCAUUGCUCACUUCGAUGCUCUCCGUCUCUCCUCGGAGCUAUGGUUGGACUCUUGAAGAUACAUGACGCACAUGAACGCACAAGCGGUGCAGCUAAGAGGAUAAUUGACUUGUUGAAAUUUAGUCGAGAAAAAAAAAAGAAGAUCCAACCUUGCUUCUAUUUCAUCUAAUGAAGGACUGUGAUUUCCACUCAUUGGCUGACUCCGGCUUGGGAAUUGCCAUUUUGCCUCCAUUUUUGUUUCCUUUGCUGUAGAAGUUUGUGUUUUGGAUCAUACUGAUACUCAACUAGCAGCUGAAUACCGACUUUAUAUUUUUAUUCUGUUAACUGUGUCUCUUUUAACUUUUGGUUGUGGCUUUUGGGUAAAUUAGUUGCUCAUGUCUAAUACCCUCCAUAAGUAUAUUUUUUGUUCCUUUAUUGUAGAUGGAUGAUUGUUAGAUUGUUGGCAUGUGGUGCAUCUGGCCGUAGUUUCCAUGGAUUUAUGUGGACAUUGUAAGGGCUACUCUGCUUGAGGAUUAUUCUGUUCGAAUGAAUGUGAAAUCCAACUUAAGCUAUUCUGCCAUCAUCCAAGAGUAGGUAUCAUAGUGCAAAUGGAUCGUAUAUUUUUCGCCCUAAAAAUAAGAUGCUGCUAAUCAUGCUGCGUUCACUCUUCAAUGCAAGUUUAUAAUGAUUCUUUUACUCUUCAUAGAACCGUAGCAGUUCUCUCUUUCAUUUCUUUUCUUUAUUCUGGGUCUAGAGGUGCUCUUUUAGAUUAAUUUUACUUGUUUUAAGUUGUCUUUUGGGGUGUGAACUUGUGAGGUUGGACCUGGUCUAUAAAUAGCAGGUACAAUCUCCUUAAGAAGUGGGGAGGUGGUUAGUUGAUAUUUGGUUGAUGGAUGUUCAGAUUUUGUUGUGUGGUUAUCAUGCAAAUCCAACUCCUUAGGAUUAUGCUAUUAGGCAAGGCAAUGACAUGAUGAUAUGAAUCCAACUUGUGCGUGCACACAUGUGCACACAUAUACAAAAAAGAAUUUGGUUUACAUUGUCUAAUAUACACCAAUAUUUACGUCUGCAAAAGCAUAGGUAACCCAGGAUGUGUCAAAAUGCAUGAAGGUUUUGUAGCAUCGUGUAGGGUUCUUGAAUAAAUUUAUGGCCCUAAGUUGCUAAUCCGUUCCCCACAUGAAUCUAUCUUUAGGUGACAUUCUCUUUUAUGCUGGGAUCCUCUUGGCCCUCACUACUUACCAUAUUCGUGUGAUUUAACUAUCUCAAGAUAUGUUCACCACCAUCCUCAGAGUGACGGAUUUCUUAACUUCUUGGUAUAAUUUUGGGUUUUUUUGUUCGACUCUAGUAUUGCAACCUGCAUUUCCAUCUACUGCCUUCAUUAUGUGGGAAAAUUUGAAAGUUAGUGAGUUUCCAGUUGAAUAUUUAUUCUGUGCUGGAAAGAAAGACGUGGUUCAAAACCUCAUUUAUGUAUCUUGAAUCUCUUCAAUCUAAAUGAGAAAUCAAUACUAGAGUGGCUCUUCCUAAGUGGACA